RNAcentral lists this long non-coding RNA (1263 nucleotides) under Vigna radiata. RNAcentral describes it as "long non-coding RNA (VRAD_LNC015692)". The record is from RNAcentral. Lineage: Eukaryota; Viridiplantae; Streptophyta; Magnoliopsida; Fabales; Fabaceae.
ACCCCUAGGUCGUCUCCGAAAGACCAAUUUUGCGGUUCAAGAAUCGAGUCUAACACGAAAAGGGGGGGUUAUGAAAAUGGUUUUGCAAAAAUUAAAGAAGUCAAUAAAGACACAGAUGCAACCAAACUAAUUUAAGCUAGCUUGGUAAUUAAACUAACAUUAUUAAAAACCUUAGANAACAUUCAAACAAAAUAAAAUAAAAUACUAGACCCCAACAAGACAACAAACAACUACCUAACACAGUUAAAUUAAUUUAAAUGCAAAACUAAAUUAAAGUGAUGAAAAACAACUCAACCUACUAUGCAAAUUAAUUGAAAAUAAAAGAAAUAAACAACAUGACUUCCUACUAGCAAUAUCACGUGACCAUCCAUGCACCAAAUAAAGAAAUUCAAUUUCUAGAAUGGCCAAAAACCUUCAUGGCUGUGAGUUGCAACAUACCAACUCCCAUUUCACUUCCUUCCUUCAAUAAACUAUUAUUUAUGUUGUCUUUUUGUCAUGUGCUUCAUUCUCCAAGACAAACCUUGCCUUCCACACUUUUCUACCAUGAAAACCAUGCUACUACUCUCUCCAUGAAGUCAACAACAAAUUCUUCUACAACCAAAGCAAGGUAACGUAUUCAAUGCCCAAAAGACCAACAAAAUGGAUUUUGCUUCUACCAAGGUGCCACAUGUGCAAAGUCAAAUGUGAAUAAAACAAACACAAAACACUCUCUUCCUCAUGCAAUGUUCGGUCAAGCUAGCAAAGGGCAAAGACCAAAAUGGCAAUAUUCCUUCCAUGGUAAAUGAGCUCUUCAUGUGCAUGGCCAAAUGAGGUAAAAAUUAAAUGAACCCUUUCUCUCUCCCUUCUCAACCUAUUUUCGGUUUUCACACCAACACAAACAAGCAAAUAGCUUCCUUUCACCUUCCAAAACCGAGAACAACUCCAAAGAACCCAAAGUUUCAAUUGCAAAAGCUUACAAGAACAACAACCCCAAAUUUCAACUUCUACUAACCAACCUAACACUCACUUUUCUUCAAACUUUUAUGAAAAUCAAAAUGGAAUUUCUACUCCACCUUGCAGUGUGACACCCGGGCACUGACGAGGGUGGGGAGUGAUCGCCGGUGCAAGAGGCAUGGUGUAGGGGGCACAGACAAGGAGUGGCUCCUGGCAGGCUUCCAGUGGAAGGGACACAUGGACGAAUCGAACAUACACCGGAAUGAGAGGGAUCUGGAGACUGUAUAGGUAUGGGACUAUACAGUUGAAGGAUAGCUUAAAGGAAUUGAU